RNAcentral lists this ribosomal RNA (449 nucleotides) under uncultured bacterium. RNAcentral describes it as "bacterial SSU rRNA". It matches the Rfam family "Bacterial small subunit ribosomal RNA", at positions 29 to 524 of the family's 1533-position model. The record is from RNAcentral.
AACGAACGCUGGCGGCAUGCCUAACACAUGCAAGUCGAACGAGACCUUCGGGUCUAGUGGCGCACGGGUGCGUAACGCGUGGGAAUCUGCCCUUGGUUCGGAAUAACAGCGAGAAAUUGCUGCUAAUACCGGAUGAUGACGUAAGUCCAAAGAUUUAUCGCCCAAGGAUGAGCCCGCGUAGGAUUAGCUAGUUGGUGAGGUAAAGGCUCACCAAGGCGACGAUCCUUAGCUGGUCUGAGAGGAUGAUCAGCCACACUGGGACUGAGACACGGCCCAGACUCCUACGGGAGGCAGCAGUGGGGAAUAUUGGACAAUGGGCGAAAGCCUGAUCCAGCAAUGCCGCGUGAGUGAUGAAGGCCUUAGGGUUGUAAAGCUCUUUUACCCGGGAUGAUAAUGACAGUACCGGGAGAAUAAGCUCCGGCUAACUCCGUGCCAGCAGCCGCGGUAAU